GACGAACGCUGGCGGCGUGCUUAACACAUGCAAGUCGAACGGAAAGGCCCUGCUUGCAGGGUACUCGAGUGGCGAACGGGUGAGUAACACGUGGGUGAUCUGCCCUGCACUUCGGGAUAAGCUUGGGAAAAUGGGUCUAAUACCGGAUAGGAGCCAUCUUUAGUGUGGUGGUUGGAAAGUUUUUUCGGUGUAGGAUGAGCUCGCGGCCUAUCAGCUUGUUGGUGGGGUAAUGGCCUACCAAGGCGGCGACGGGUAGCCGGCCUGAGAGGGUGUACGGCCACAUUGGGACUGAGAUACGGCCCAGACUCCUACGGGAGGCAGCAGUGGUGAAUAUUGCACAAUGGGCGCAAGCCUGAUGCAGCGACGCCGCGUGGGGGAUGAAGGCCUUCGGGUUGUAAACUCCUUUCGCUAGGGACGAAGCUUUUUUGUGACGGUACCUAGAUAAGAAGCACCGGCUAACUACGUG
This 466-nucleotide ribosomal RNA is filed under the name uncultured bacterium. Its description in RNAcentral is "partial 16S ribosomal RNA". It matches the Rfam family "Bacterial small subunit ribosomal RNA", at positions 28 to 507 of the family's 1533-position model. The record is from RNAcentral.